GAGGCUGGUUGGGUUGUUGGCUUAGAAAGCAGUUACAGAUGACGCGGUUAUUGCAAGAACUCCUAAAAAAUAUUAGAAGUUAUGAUAACACGAAAAAAAGAAGAAUAGUUAGAUGGAUGCAGAAAUGGGGUAUCCUGAAAAGUAGGAUGCAGUGUCCAAAAUGCAAUCGAAGCAUGCGCCUGGAAAAAUGCGAUCUCAGCGAUGGGUUACGAUGGGUCUGUAAGCAUCACAAAAGUUCACCACUCUCUGUGCGCAAUGGCUCAAUAUUCACCAAUUCUCACACCCCUUUGGUGAAAUGGCUUGAGUUUAUGUACAGGUACAGUAUUUAUUUAUUUGACAAGUAAAGUGCACAAAAAUAAUAAAUACUGUAAAUGUGUCA
Long non-coding RNA from Cyprinus carpio (common carp), 379 nucleotides. The record is from Ensembl. Lineage: Eukaryota; Metazoa; Chordata; Actinopteri; Cypriniformes; Cyprinidae.